AGCAGCCCGGUAGCUCGUCAGGCUCAUAACCUGAAGGUCGUAGGUUCAAAUCCUACUCCCGCAA
RNAcentral lists this transfer RNA (64 nucleotides) under Pseudooceanicola nitratireducens. RNAcentral's name for it is "Oceanicola sp. JLT1210 tRNA". It matches the Rfam family "tRNA", at positions 11 to 71 of the family's 71-position model. From Rfam's summary of the family: Transfer RNA (tRNA) molecules are approximately 80 nucleotides in length. Their secondary structure includes four short double-helical elements and three loops (D, anti-codon, and T loops). The record is from Rfam by way of RNAcentral. Lineage: Bacteria; Pseudomonadati; Pseudomonadota; Alphaproteobacteria; Rhodobacterales; Paracoccaceae.